CCUACGGGCGGCUGCAGUGAGGAAUAUUGGUCAAUGGGCGCUAGCCUGAACCAGCCAAGUAGCGUGAAGGAUGACUGCCCUAUGGGUUGUAAACUUCUUUUAUAUGGGAAUAAAGUGCAGUAUGUAUACUGCUUUGCAUGUACCUUAUGAAUAAGGAUCGGCUAACUCCGUGCCAGCAGCCGCGGUAAUACGGAGGAUCCGAGCGUUAUCCGGAUUUAUUGGGUUUAAAGGGAGCGUAGGUGGGUUUUUAAGUCAGUUGUGAAAGUUUGCGGCUCAACCGUAAAAUUGCAGUUGAUACUGGCAGCCUUGAGUACGGUAGAGGUAGGCGGAAUGCGUGGUGUAGCGGUGAAAUGCUUAGAUAUCACGAAGAACUCCGAUUGCGAAGGCAGCCUGCUGGGCUGUAACUGACGCUGAUGCUCGAAAGUGUGGGUAUCAAACAGGAUUAGAUACCCCGGUAGUC
RNAcentral lists this ribosomal RNA (460 nucleotides) under uncultured bacterium. Its description in RNAcentral is "partial 16S ribosomal RNA". It matches the Rfam family "Bacterial small subunit ribosomal RNA", at positions 338 to 795 of the family's 1533-position model. The record is from RNAcentral.